GACGAACGCUGGCGGCGUGCUUAACACAUGCAAGUCGAACGGAAAGGCCCUGCUUUUGUGCGGUGCUCGAGUGCCGAACGCGUGAGUAACACGUGAGUAACCUGCCCUUGACUUUGGGAUAACUUCAGGAAAGUGGGGCUAAUACCGUAUAGGAGCCCCUGCUGCAUGGUGGGGGGUGGAUAGUCUCGGCGGUAGGGGAUGGACGCGCGGCUUACCAGCUUGUUGGUGGGGUAGUGGCUUACCAAGGCUUUGACGGGUCGCCGGCCGGAGAGCGUGGCCGGCCACAUUGGUCCUGCGGUAGGCACCAGAGUGCUACAUGAGACAGUAGUGGCGAGUCUUGCACAGUGAGCCGAAGUCUGUUAAGGAAACGCUGCGUUCGUGAUGCCGGCCUUCGGGUUGAAAACAGCUUUAGCUUGUGACGAAGCGUGAGUGACGGUACCCAAUGAAGAAGCACCGGCUAACUACGUG
RNAcentral lists this ribosomal RNA (468 nucleotides) under uncultured bacterium. Its description in RNAcentral is "partial 16S ribosomal RNA". It matches the Rfam family "Bacterial small subunit ribosomal RNA", at positions 28 to 507 of the family's 1533-position model. The record is from RNAcentral.